Molecule: ribosomal RNA, 306 nt
Filed under: Triticum aestivum (bread wheat)
Lineage: Eukaryota; Viridiplantae; Streptophyta; Magnoliopsida; Poales; Poaceae
Description: partial small subunit ribosomal RNA
Source: RNAcentral
AUGUUGCCAUGCCAUGCCUCAUUAAAUUGGACAUGCAUCAUACUUGGUUGUGCAUCAUGCCAUGUUCAUGUCGUGGUUGUUUACUGUGUUGUUUGGUUCUUUCCGGUGUUGCUUCUUCGGGUUGGUUCCGAUAACGUCGUGUUUGUGAGGAACCGUUCGUCUACGUCCAUUCGUCUUCUUCAUGGGCUCGUUCUUCUUCCUUGCGGGAUUUCAGCUUGCAGGUGCCGAUGGGUCCAUGCAGAUGACGCAACCAAGCUCAAGGAGGAGCUCGAUGAAGAUCUUGUUCUUUAUGUUGUUUCGUUCUAG